Molecule: long non-coding RNA, 592 nt
Filed under: Pandoravirus neocaledonia
Description: hypothetical ncRNA
Source: RNAcentral
CGUUCACCGCGGCUCGGUAGACGGUCGCCAUCGCCGACGCCCGCACUUGUGCCGGCGCCAAGGGCAAACGGGUCGUGGGCGGCGUGUUGCGGUUGUCCGACAGCGCGCGCGGCGCCAGACAAACGGCGAUCGUUGCGACCUUGUUCGAACGCCUGGGCACGAUCCACGUAUUGUUGGCCAUUGUGACUCUUUCUGGCGGCCCUCGCAUCGACAUUGUUGUUGUGGUGGUCGUUGCCGUUGCCGCCGACACUGCCGCUGCGGUCAUUGCCGUGGUGGUCAUCGGCGCUGUCAUAGUCGUCAUCGAGCGGGUCGAGGGCGGCAAAGGCGUCGUAGGCCGGCGCUGCGUUGCGCGCACCGAAAAAGGAGCCGACGCCGGCAUCGCGGCCGUCAACAUCAAUCUCGUCCAGCUGGAGUAGCGACCGCGUCGUCAUAAUGCCGUGCGAGUGGCCGUUGUUGUCUUUCUCUUCUCCUUGUUCCUUUUCCUGUGGGGCGACCCGUUCUUUGCCUGUCUUGCGAACGAGCACAAAUGCAACGCGCGGCACCCGAGGUCUUUUACCCUUUUGCUUUGCAAAGAGAGAGGAGGGAAGAGGCC